This 901-nucleotide ribosomal RNA is filed under the name uncultured Chaetothyriales. RNAcentral's name for it is "SSU rRNA". It matches the Rfam family "Eukaryotic small subunit ribosomal RNA", at positions 238 to 1144 of the family's 1831-position model. The record is from RNAcentral. Lineage: Eukaryota; Fungi; Ascomycota; Eurotiomycetes; Chaetothyriales.
GCUCCUUGGUGAUUCAUAAUAACUUAACGAAUCGCAUGGCCUUGCGCCGGCGAUGGUUCAUUCAAAUUUCUGCCCUAUCAACUUUCGAUGGUAGGAUAGUGGCCUACCAUGGUCUUAACGGGUAACGGGGAAUUAUGGGUUCGAUUCCGGAGAGGGAGCCUGAGAAACGGCUACCACAUCCAAGGAAGGCAGCAGGCGCGCAAAUUACCCAAUCUCGAUCCGGGGAGGUAGUGACAAUAAAUACUGAUACGGGGCUCUUUCGGGUCUCGUAAUUGGAAUGAGUACAAUCUAAAUCCCUUAACGAGGAACAAUUGGAGGGCAAGUCUGGUGCCAGCAGCCGCGGUAAUUCCAGCUCCAAUAGCGUAUAUUAAAGUUGUUGCCGUUAAAAAGCUCGUAGUUGAACCUUGGACCUGGCUGAUCUGUCCUCCUAAUCGAGCGCACGGAUUCGGUCGGGUCUUUCCUUCUGGGGAGCCUCAUGCCCUUCGCUGGGUGUGUUGGGGAACCAGGACCUUUACCUUGAAAAAAUUAGAGUGUUCAAAGCAGGCCUUUGCUCGAAUACAUUAGCAUGGAAUAAUAGAAUAGGACGUCGGUUCUAUUUUGUUGGUUUCUAGGACCGCUGUAAUGAUUAAUAGGGACAGUCGGGGGCGUCAGUAUUCAAUUGUCAGAGGUGAAAUUCUUGGAUUUAUUGAAGACUAACUACUGCGAAAGCAUUCGCCAAGGAUGUUUUCAUUAAUCAGUGAACGAAAGUUAGGGGAUCGAAGACGAUCAGAUACCGUCGUAGUCUUAACCAUAAACUAUGCCGACUAGGGAUCGGACGGUGGUUUUUUUAUGCCCCGUUCGGCACCUUACGAGAAAUCAAAGUUUUUGGGCUCGGGGGGGAGUAUGGUCGCAAGGCUGAACU